RNAcentral lists this unclassified non-coding RNA (229 nucleotides) under plant metagenome. RNAcentral describes it as "partial contains small subunit ribosomal RNA, internal transcribed spacer 1, and 5.8S ribosomal RNA". The record is from RNAcentral.
UCUCCGUAGGUGAACCCGCGGAGGGAUCAUUACAGAGUUCAUGCCCUACCUGGUAGAUCUCCCACCCUAUGUUAUUAUUACUUUGUUGCUUUGGCGGGCCGUUAGGCUCCGGCCCGACUACCGGCCCCGGCUGGUAAGCGCCCGCCAGAGGACCCAAAACCCUGAAUAUUAGUGUCGUCUGAGUACUAUAUAAUAGUUAAAACUUUCAACAACGGAUCUCUUGGUUCUG